GCUACAAUAAGAAUAACUGCAUUAAGAGAACCUGAAGAAAGGACACCAGGUUGACCCUCCUAGAAGGAGACAGUUGAGUGGAGGAAUGAGGAGGGUGUACAGACAAAAAGAAAUCGAAGACACUUCAUCCCUGGCAGAGAAAAGAGUGACUCCCGAGCCACAUUUUGAAGAGAGACGUGCUGGUCCUGAAGUAUGGUGAAUUCACUUCCAGGCAUAAAGAAAAGAAAGAGCAGGAAAUAUAAUUUGGGAGAUUUUAAUGGCCAGACUUGGAAGUGGUGUGCAUAACUAUUGUCUGCAUUCAGAACACCAUCAUUUGCCCCAGGUUGCUGGAAGAGAAGCAGGAAAAGUAUCCUCAUGUGAGCCCAGGAG
Molecule: long non-coding RNA, 369 nt
Filed under: Equus caballus (horse)
Lineage: Eukaryota; Metazoa; Chordata; Mammalia; Perissodactyla; Equidae
Description: lncRNA (ENSECAG00000056010.1)
Source: RNAcentral